Molecule: ribosomal RNA, 484 nt
Filed under: uncultured bacterium
Lineage: Bacteria
Description: partial 16S ribosomal RNA
Rfam family: Bacterial small subunit ribosomal RNA
Source: RNAcentral
GGGGGGGGGGGGGGGGGGGGGGGGGGGGUGGGGGUGGGGGGGGGGGGGGGGGCUUGCGGCGGGAUUCAGGGGCGGGCGGGGGAGUAAUGCCUAGGAAUCUGCCUGGUAGUGGGGGAGAACGUCCGGACACGGGCGCUAAUACCGCAUACGUCCUGAGGGAGAAAGUGGGGGAUCUUCGGACCUCACGCUAUCAGAUGAGCCUAGGUCGGAUUAGCUAGUUGGUGGGGUAAAGGCCUACCAAGGCGACGAUCCGUAACUGGUCUGAGAGGAUGACCAGUCACACUGGAACUGAGACACGGUCCAGACUCCUACGGGAGGCAGCAGUGGGGAAUAUUGGACAAUGGGCGAAAGCCUGAUCCAGCCAUGCCGCGUGUGUGAAGAAGGUCUUCGGAUUGUAAAGCACUUUAAGUUGGGAGGAAGGGCAGUAAGUUAAUACCUUGCUGUUUUGACGUUACCAACAGAAUAAGCACCGGCUAACUUCGUG